GACGAACGCUGGCGGCGUGCCUAAUACAUGCAAGUCGAGCGAAGUGUUUCUGGUUCUUUCGCUAGAAAGACUUAGCGGCGGGCGAGUGAGUAACACGUAAAGAACCUGCCUCAUAGACUGGGACAACUAUUGGAAACGAUAGCUACUACCGGAUAACAGUGUUUCUCGCAUGAGGGAGAUUUAAAAGUUGGUUAUGGUAACACUAUGAGGUGGCUUUGCGCUGCAUUAGCUAGUUGGUGGGGUAAAGGCCCAACAAGGCGACGAUGGAUAACCGACCUGAGAGGGGGGUAGGCCACAUUGGGACGUAGACACGGACCAUACGCCUAAGGGAGGGAGCAGUAGGGAAUCUGCGGCAAUGGGCGAAAGCCUGACGGAGCAAGGCCGCGUGAGUGAAGAAGGAGUUCGGUGCGUAAAGCUCUGUUGUUAGGGAAGAAUGGAUAUGGAGUAAGUAGAAAUGUAAGAGACGGUACCUAGUCAGAAAGCAACGGCUAACUACGUG
RNAcentral lists this ribosomal RNA (499 nucleotides) under uncultured bacterium. RNAcentral's name for it is "partial 16S ribosomal RNA". It matches the Rfam family "Bacterial small subunit ribosomal RNA", at positions 28 to 507 of the family's 1533-position model. The record is from RNAcentral.